RNAcentral lists this ribosomal RNA (501 nucleotides) under uncultured bacterium. RNAcentral describes it as "partial 16S ribosomal RNA". It matches the Rfam family "Bacterial small subunit ribosomal RNA", at positions 30 to 523 of the family's 1533-position model. The record is from RNAcentral.
AUUGAACGCUGGCGGCAGGCUUAACACAUGCAAGUCGAGCGGGGGAAGGUAGCUUGCUACCGGACCUAGCGGCGGACGGGUGAGUAAUGCUUAGGAAUCUGCCUAUUAGUGGGGGACAACAUCUCGAAAGGGAUGCUAAUACCGCAUACGUCCUACGGGAGAAAGCAGGGGAUCUUCGGACCUUGCGCUAAUAGAUGGGCCUAAGUCGGAUUAGCUAGUUGGUGGGGUAAAGGCCUACCAAGGCGACGAUCUGUAGCGGGGCUGAGAGGAUGAUCCGCCACACGGGGACUGAGACACGGCCCGGACUCCUACGGGAGGCAGCAGUGGGGAAUAUUGGACAAUGGGGGGAACCCUGAUCCAGCCAUGCCGCGUGUGUGAAGAAGGCCUUAUGGUUGUAAAGCACUUUAAGCGAGGAGGAGGCUACUUUAGUUAAUACCUAGAGAUAGUGGACGUUACUCGCAGAAUAAGCACCGGCUAACUCUGUGCCAGCCGCCGCCGUAA